This 486-nucleotide ribosomal RNA is filed under the name uncultured bacterium. RNAcentral describes it as "partial 16S ribosomal RNA". It matches the Rfam family "Bacterial small subunit ribosomal RNA", at positions 30 to 507 of the family's 1533-position model. The record is from RNAcentral.
AUUGAACGCUGGCGGCAUGCCUUACACAUGCAAGUCGAACGGCAGCACGGGUGCUUGCACCUGGUGGCGAGUGGCGAACGGGUGAGUAAUACAUCGGAACAUGUCCUGUAGUGGGGGAUAGCCCGGCGAAAGCCGGAUUAAUACCGCAUACGAUCUACGGAUGAAAGCGGGGGCCCUUCGGGCCUCGCGCUUUAGGGUUGGCCGAUGGCUGAUUAGCUAGUUGGUGGGGUAAAGGCCUACCAAGGCGACGAUCAGUAGCUGGUCUGAGAGGACGACCAGCCACACUGGGACUGAGACACGGCCCAGACUCCUACGGGAGGCAGCAGUGGGGAAUUUUGGACAAUGGGCGAAAGCCUGAUCCAGCAAUGCCGCGUGUGUGAAGAAGGCCUUCGGGUUGUAAAGCACUUUUGUCCGGAAAGAAAUCCUUGGCCCUAAUACGGGCGGGGGAUGACGGUACCGGAAGAAUAAGCACCGGCUAACUACGUG